GACUAUUUUCCUGUCCUACUAAGCAUUCAAAAUGUAAUGAGUACUUUUGGGUGUCAAUGAAAAUGUAUGGAGUAAAAAUUACAAUGUUUUCUUAAGAAAUGUAGUUAACUAAAAGUAAAAGAAGUCAAAAAUAUGAAUAGUAAAGUAUAGAUACCCCAAAAAACUACUUAAGUAUUACUUUAAAGUAUUUUUACUUAAGUACUUUACUUCCGCCUGAUGAUACACUACCUCCACAUUUCCUCUCCCUGCUUCCUGAUUUACAGAUCUGCUACUCUAUGGACCCAACCUCUUCCUGUAGUCUGUCAACAUCUGUUCCUCUCAGACCAAUUUCAUUCUCAUACUGGGCUAUAAAUAGAUGUGCAAAGGUUUUAAGAUAUGAUUCAUUUAAACAAGUAUACUUAAACAAGUAUGCAUGUGUAAAUGAACACCUUUCUUGAUUUAUAAGUAAAUUAUUCAUGUGCAAAGCUUCAACUAGAGACUAAUGAAACCCACAUGAUAAUUGCAACAUUUAAAUAAUAUUUUAAAUCGUUUAUUUUUUUUGCAGUUAGAAGUGGUUCCUGCCAGUUAGGCCUGGUUAGGCCCAACCAAAUCUCGAAAACCCAUGAACAAAAUCUUGCAUGAACAUAACUCUCAUAACCCCUGUCUCCCAACAGAGGUAACUGAUCUUAGGACAGAAUAGGCCCACCCAGAUCAGUCUUAUCUACACCUGCAAUUGGAGCACAUUACACACCUAUGACAGCUACAGGUAUGAAAGUGUAUAUGAAAAUUAUGCACCAUCACAGAAGGGUCAUAGGUGGGAGAUAUUGUUUCACCAUAAAAGGAGAGAGGAGAGACACAAAAUACAGUGUGUCACUCUCACACUCACUACUGUGGCAUUGCCUGAGUCAUUAUCUACAGCCAACAGCUCCUGUGUAUAUUUCUAAAAACAUUUUUGAAAGCAUGUGAAAACAGUCGACCCCGAAAGCAAAUCUCAUUUCCAUAUAUCCUGUUUCACUUCUCUCUCUGCAUUAUGCAUAAUAACAGGUGGCAGGUUUGGGACCUUCAAAGAACUCCUAACCAUGAUCCAAUGAAUGUGCUGCUGGUGCCUUUAUGUUCUCUCUUGACCUACAAUUAACAGAUGCAGGGGACAAGGAGAAUCAGACAAACACUUGGAAUACCCAGGAGAAGAAGCACCAGAUCUCAGUAAGCCUGAAGUUUGUGACCCUGACUGAAGUGGUUGAGCUGAGCUGUGAGUCCUCUGUCCUUGUAGAGGGUCAGCAGUGUUUGUUCUAGGUGGAUUCUAAACUCAAGGAGUUUGGUCGCUCAAAUGCCAUGCCAACCAA
Non-coding RNA from Salmo salar (Atlantic salmon), 1322 nucleotides. The record is from RefSeq and is a predicted model, not a curated record. NCBI's taxonomy places the organism in Eukaryota, Metazoa, Chordata, Actinopteri, Salmoniformes, Salmonidae.